This 114-nucleotide non-coding RNA is filed under the name human gut metagenome. Its description in RNAcentral is "THF riboswitch". It matches the Rfam family "THF (Tetrahydrofolate) riboswitch aptamer". From Rfam's summary of the family: THF riboswitch presents a pseudoknot that joins P1-P2 and the loop of P3 and two THF binding. RNAcentral also lists the same sequence under 1 other name. The record is from RNAcentral.
CAGAGUAGAUUUUCGGGCGUAAAGUGCCGGCAAAACGGGGAGUUGUUUGUCGGACGAAAGCAGGAGGCAGAAUAAAACUGCAUUCCGCUGCGGUCCGAAUUUCGCAUCCCGCUG